RNAcentral lists this long non-coding RNA (473 nucleotides) under Pan paniscus (pygmy chimpanzee). RNAcentral's name for it is "lncRNA (ENSPPAG00000044167.1)". Lineage: Eukaryota; Metazoa; Chordata; Mammalia; Primates; Hominidae. The record is from RNAcentral.
UGCAGAGUUGCCACAAACAUUAAAUUUGUAAAAAAUGCAAGAUUUACAAAGUGCAAUAAAGUGAUGUGUAACAAAAUGAGGUAUGUCUAUAUGGUAUUAUUUAGGGAAUAAUGACACAGAAAAAAAGUCUAUACAUGUCCAGUGCAGAUGGAUUUUUAAAAAAUAUUUUCAAUUUUGAAUUCACAGAUGAAGAACUCGUGGAUAUGGAAGACCAGUUGUGUUCAUCCUCCAUCUGGGAUAAUCCCUUUUUUUUCAGAGUACAUCUCAUUUCCAAGUGGCUGUUGCGCUGCUGUUUGCCCCCACUCCUUCAGUGCGACAGCCUCAGAGCUGGUAGGGAGACAGCAUGCCACUGGAGGAGAUGGAAGAUUGAGAGCAGAGUGCAAGAAUGGGAAGAGGGCUUCGUGCCCUGUGCACGUUUGCCACCUAGUGACCAAACUGAAUGGUGUGCUUCUCACCUCAGCCUGAUAGCCUGA